This 576-nucleotide ribosomal RNA is filed under the name Hanseniaspora uvarum. Its description in RNAcentral is "LSU rRNA". It matches the Rfam family "Eukaryotic large subunit ribosomal RNA", at positions 65 to 655 of the family's 3401-position model. The record is from RNAcentral. Lineage: Eukaryota; Fungi; Ascomycota; Saccharomycetes; Saccharomycodales; Saccharomycodaceae.
ACAACUGGGAUUACCUUAGUAACGGCGAGUGAAGCGGUAAAAGCUCAAAUUUGAAAUCUGGUACUUUCAGUGCCCGAGUUGUAAUUUGUAGAAUUUGUCUUUGAUUAGGUCCUUGUCUAUGUUCCUUGGAACAGGACGUCAUAGAGGGUGAGAAUCCCGUUUGGCGAGGAUACCUUUUCUCUGUAAGACUUUUUCGAAGAGUCGAGUUGUUUGGGAAUGCAGCUCAAAGUGGGUGGUAAAUUCCAUCUAAAGCUAAAUAUUGGCGAGAGACCGAUAGCGAACAAGUACAGUGAUGGAAAGAUGAAAAGAACUUUGAAAAGAGAGUGAAAAAGUACGUGAAAUUGUUGAAAGGGAAGGGCAUUUGAUCAGACAUGGUGUUUUUUGCAUGCACUCGCCUCUCGUGGGCUUGGGCCUCUCAAAAAUUUCACUGGGCCAACAUCAAUUCUGGCAGAAGGAUAAAUCAUUAAGAAUGUAGCUACUUCGGUAGUGUUAUAGCUUUUUGGAAUACUGUUAGCCGGGAUUGAGGACUGCGCUUCGGCAAGGAUGUUGGCAUAAUGGUUAAAUGCCGCCCGUCUG